UCUUUCUGGCAGGGUAUAUGAGAUCGUCGCUGAUUGGCUGCACCUUGCUCAAGCCGAUCUUCGAUCGAUCGAUAUCCGGCCGCGGGACGGUCACACUCACAGGUCGGCAUGUUGGUGAACCUUUCCUGUUUAGCUUAGAUUUCACGUUAUCAUGGUUAUUCAUGCCAACAUGCAAGAGCUAGCUGCAAACAACUUCUCUAAUUAGUAGAAUGUGGACGGACAUUGCAUUCAUUCCCAUUCAGCCAUUGGACUGAACCGGUACCAAGACCGGAACUGUAACACAGUAAGGAUGGUCAAUAUGAAGCGAGCUUCAUUGAAUUCCUCCAAGAGCUCUGUACUCUGUUCUGAUCAUUUUGAAGAUGCUUGCUUUGACCUGGGCAGACGAUACGUCUUAAACAGGAUGCUGUCCCAACCAUAUUUGAUUUCCCGCCUCGUCUUCAGAAGAAUUCACCCAAACCAAGGUAUUUCCCAAAAGACUUUUCGAUUCAGCAAACAACCUCCCAGAUACUGCAAAGACACCAGUGCCAAAGUCUUCAGCACCUUAAUUUCUCGAAGACCACUCCUACUGAAUACCAGAAAGUCCAAGAGGGGUAAAGUGGAAGUCAACAACAAUAAUGGACUGUAUUAAAACUUGGAGAAGAGGCUGAAAACCACACAGAAGUCCUACCUUAUACAUUACUUGCUUUUAAGUUUGGACAAACAUUGAUUUGCACAACUUUACAACAAAAAAUUUACGCUGUGUGGAUUCUGAUUAUUUAAAAUAGCUCAAUGAAAACGUUUAUCACUGGGCAUGUAACAAAAAUGAAUUCAUUGAAUUUGAAGAUGUCUUACAGUAUAUUCAUUCUGAUUUGAAUGUCAGAAGAGAAAAAAGUUUGUGAAAAGUAGGAAUGACGGCAAGCUGACAGAAGAAUAGAAUACAUGUAGGAUAGAACAAGGCCACAGUUAUAAAUGAGCUGUUGGAUAGAGACAAAAAGAUGAAUUAAGAAUGGGGGUGAUAGAGAAAUAGAGACAGGAAUUUGGGAGCCUGUGAUGAAUGCCUGAGAAAGUAAAAAUUACCAUAUUUUAUUUUUUUAAGGAUUUGAACAGUCAGGAAGAAUGUGGUCUUUUUUCUGUUGUUAUUUCUCAAAAUACUGGUAUGUUUUGUGUACAGAAAGGGGUAUAAUCCUUUGCAAUAAUCACUCUCACAGAAAAUAAUAACUAAUCAAAAGAAAAGUCAAAUAUUUCACUGAUUUACAAUUGUUCGGUCACUCUCAUAUCUAAAGUUACCCCCCCCCCCAUCAUUUCAAGGUAUUGGAGAGAGAGGUUGGGCAGGACAUGGCUGUCAGCAGAAAAAAAAUGCAGGGUGGGGCAAAACAAUUUUGGGAUAUGUGCGAGGGAGCGAAUGCGACAGAGCAGAAUUUUGUGGGGGGGGGAUAUAUGCGAGAGAGCAAAAUGACAGAAGGAAAAUGCAGGGGCCAAGAGAUUUGAGGAAUAUGUAAGAGGGAGCGAAGUGACCAAGCAGAAGAAAUGUAGAGGACAACAAAUUGUUGGGUAUGUGAGGGAGCAAAGCAACCAAUUAAAAAAGGAGGUUAGUCAAAACGUUCUUGAAUAUGAGUAAGGAAGCAACUUGUUCACUUCCGAGCAGUAGGACUCGUUUUAAAAUAGCUUAGGAAAUAUGUGUUUCCUAAGCAUGGUAAACACAUAUUGUAGGCCUAUAGUACAAUUUAGGUGCUCUAAGAGUUAAAUUCUGAAUGAGCUGCAUUUGCUGGUAAAUCAUGCGCAGAGGAUCUUUGUCUUUUAUCCAUUUCUACACUUUUCUUUAGAUUUCAGUUUUAAGGCGGGAAGGAUCCCACCCUCCUGUGGAUGCUAAUAUUUUGACUGACCCUGGGUAAAUAGAAUAAUUACAAAAACAAAAAUGAUGUUUUAAUAUGAGAUUUUUUAAUGCCCCUUGAAAGUCCACCAUCUUUCUCACUCUCUCCAUCUUUGUUUUUAUUCAUUUUAACUUUCCAAUUCUUUCUCUCUUGAUAUCUAUAAAGUUCAGGUUCACCCUUUUAACUUGCACUAUUCCAAGCCCCCAACCAAUUGGCAUCCACAGGAAUGGGGGAGUGGGGCUUCCCCCUAGAAAAUAAAGUCAAACAAAAGAAAAAUGUGGAAAAUAGAAAUGGAUAAAGACAAAUAAUCCUCUACGCAUGUCUUACCUACCAAUAGUUCAUUCACAAUUUAAUACCUAAAUUCUACUGAGUUUACCAUACUUAGAAAAUGCAUAUUUCCUAUGCCAUUUUUAAACAAGUCCCUAUCGCUGGGAGUGAACGUGUUGCUCACCAGCACGAAUUCGAAAAUAUUUUGAUUGACCUGGGGCCCGUUUCAUAAAACAUUUGCCGCAGCGGCAACUCCCAUUUUCUGCGGCAAAUCUCAAAACAGCGGCAAAUGACAAUUUCUGCGGCAAUAUUUGAUGCAGCUAUUUGAGCUGCGUCAAAUAUUUGCCGCAGAUACUUUCAGGGGCAAAUGACAAUUUCUGCGACAAUAUUUGAUCUAUUUGAGUUGCGUCAAAUAUUGCAGCAGAAACGG
Molecule: unclassified non-coding RNA, 2547 nt
Filed under: Lytechinus variegatus (green sea urchin)
Lineage: Eukaryota; Metazoa; Echinodermata; Echinoidea; Temnopleuroida; Toxopneustidae
Description: uncharacterized LOC121422110, transcript variant X1
Source: RNAcentral